ACUGAAUUCGACACUCUCGAUACAUUAGAAGAAUGAGAUCAAGAUGUCUUUCAAUGAUUAAUAAUGAGAUAAAAUUUGCAAUAGAAAAGGGAUAGUGAAUUCUAAAUUCUAAUUCAGCAAAGUUUCAAGUGAAACGUACUCGUAAGGGCACAAUAGUAGUUUUCAUUGUUAAGAGUAUGUAGCACUACCAUGGCAUACAUUCAAAAUUGCUUGAAGUAUAUUUCAUUGAUUGUAUGGAUGAGUCUAACUUUAAGAUGCAGCAAAGUGUGGAAUGAGUCGACCCCAACAAAGGUGGAGUCGACCCUGGCACAUCAUGGAACCAUCAGGCACACCUCUGCGAAAAUGGCACGGAUGAACAGUAGUGGAGUUGACCC
This 374-nucleotide long non-coding RNA is filed under the name Phoenix dactylifera (date palm). Its description in RNAcentral is "long non-coding RNA (PDAC_LNC019171)". Lineage: Eukaryota; Viridiplantae; Streptophyta; Magnoliopsida; Arecales; Arecaceae. The record is from RNAcentral.